This 946-nucleotide unclassified non-coding RNA is filed under the name Hevea brasiliensis (rubber tree). The record is from RNAcentral. Lineage: Eukaryota; Viridiplantae; Streptophyta; Magnoliopsida; Malpighiales; Euphorbiaceae.
GAACUCAAAGCAACAAAAUUAAGGUAGAAAAUAACUUAUAUAUAUCACCUUCCUCUAGAGAUCAAAUCAUACAUAAUCAACUCUUUUUAUGGUGGGAGUUCAUCUGACAAUUUUGGGGGAAAUGAGAAAACAAAGAAAACAAAAAGAAAACAAAAGGCCAUAACCAAAGUUCUAAAAUCAUGGGUGAAAAAACAAAAUGUACCUAGCUAGCUGCAUCUCCUCUCCUUGCUAAAUUUCAUAUAGAUAAUAGAGGAAAAUUGAGAAGAUGAUACCAAGAUUAAUUAUGUUGAAGCUCAUAAUUAAGAGAUUCCCACACCAAGAAAAUCUAUAAAGGAAACAUCCUUUUGCUUGAUUGCUCCAUCUCCUUGCUCUUUUAGCAAUGUAGCUGAUUUGCUUGCAUAGCCCCCAUCUCCAUAACUUACUAAAGCUAAAGGAUUAUUAUUAGGAGCAACUUUCUUAGAGCUAGAGAUCUGAGGUGAUGAUCCAAAGAGACUUUGGUAGCAGCCACCAUAGAUGGAUCCAUUAAAGCCAUGUGAUCCCUCUUUAGUGUACUGAGAACAAGAACUUGAUGAAUUCAUAUAAUCCUUUCUUUUUCCAUUGAAGAAAUCGAAAUUUAACGACUCGUUGGUGAUGGUUGAAGCACUAAUAGUCCAAGAAGGAGAUGAACUUGAACACAUGGGGAAGCAAACACUGCUUCGAAACCCUAAUUUAGAGUGAUCAACUAGUUGUUGAUGAGGCCUAUAACAGCUUUCAAAAUUGGAACCAGGAGCAGUUUUUUUGUUAGAUUCAGUUGGAUGAACAUGGAAACUUCUCUUACCAUAGACAGAUGAUAGGCGUUCUCGCUUUCUUCUUGCCAUCACUACAUGGUAGUGGUUCUUCACAGCGUUGUCUGUUCUUCCAGGGAAAAGCCUAGCUAUUGAAGCCCAUCUAUUUCCUUGAAUCUGAU